This 497-nucleotide ribosomal RNA is filed under the name uncultured bacterium. RNAcentral describes it as "partial 16S ribosomal RNA". It matches the Rfam family "Bacterial small subunit ribosomal RNA", at positions 28 to 507 of the family's 1533-position model. The record is from RNAcentral.
GAUGAACGCUGGCGGCGUGCCUAAUACAUGCAAGUCGAGCGAACAGAUGAGGAGCUUGCUCCUCUGACGUUAGCGGCGGACGGGUGAGUAACACGUGGAUAACCUACCUAUAAGACUGGGAUAACUUCGGGAAACCGGAGCUAAUACCGGAUAAUAUAUUGAACCGCAUGGUUCAAUAGUGAAAGACGGUUUUGCUGUCACUUAUAGAUGGAUCCGCGCCGCAUUAGCUAGUUGGUAAGGUAACGGCUUACCAAGGCAACGAUGCGUAGCCGACCUGAGAGGGUGAUCGGCCACACUGGAACUGAGACACGGUCCAGACUCCUAAGGGAGGCAGCAGUAGGGAAUCUUCCGCAAUGGGCGAAAGCCUGACGGAGCAACGCCGCGUGAGUGAUGAAGGUCUUCGGAUCGUAAAACUCUGUUAUUAGGGAAGAACAAAUGUGUAAGUAACUAUGCACGUCUUGACGGUACCUAAUCAGAAAGCCACGGCUAACUAUGUG